Molecule: ribosomal RNA, 459 nt
Filed under: uncultured bacterium
Lineage: Bacteria
Description: partial 16S ribosomal RNA
Rfam family: Bacterial small subunit ribosomal RNA
Source: RNAcentral
UGGGGAAUAUUGGACAAUGGGGGCAACCCUGAUCCAGCAAUGCCGCGUGUGUGAAGAAGGUCUUCGGAUUGUAAAGCACUUUCGACGGGGACGAUGAUGACGGUACCCUUAGAAGAAGCCCCGGCUAACUUCGUGCCAGCAGCCGCGGUAAUACGAAGGGGGCUAGCGUUGCUCGGAAUGACUGGGCGUAAAGGGCGUGUAGGCGGUUUACACAGUCAGAUGUGAAAUCCCCGGGCUUAACCUGGGAGCUGCAUUUGAUACGUGUAGACUAGAGUGUGAGAGAGGGUUGUGGAAUUCCCAGUGUAGAGGUGAAAUUCGUAGAUAUUGGGAAGAACACCGGUGGCGAAGGCGGCAACCUGGCUCAUGACUGACGCUGAGGCGCGAAAGCGUGGGGAGCAAACAGGAUUAGAUACCCUGGUAGUCCACGCCUGUAAACGAUGUGUGCUAGAUGUUGGGUAA